GGGGGCGGGACCGAUCCCCUCCGGUAGCGCCCUCCUAACAGGAACUCCGGUGACGGCCUGUCACGGAGCGACAGGACUUACUGGACCAUUUAUGUGCUUCCUGUCUGCACAGGUCACAAGUGCUCAAAUUUUUCCCAGUUUACAUGCUUCUACGCAAAUAUGCAGAUAAGGGAAGAUCAAAGGAUUUUGCCUUGCACUUGAAACAGAAGCCUUACACGGGGCACUUGGAGUGCAGAGGGAGUAUGCCCUGGAUGCCAGCCAAAUGAAAGAAGACAGCUGAGAGGAAUUCCAGCUGUUAUGGGGAAUGAUGCUGCAGAAGGACUGCUUAGUUUGGAGCAUUUCUAUUCCAGUGGUGCAAUGUCAAGUAAAUCAACAGGUUUCAGCAAUCUGUAUUUGUUAGUCUAGCCCAGCAGUGACAGUUUCUUACCAUUCAGAGCUGCAGUGGUAUGAGGACACUAAUGGAGCAGAUUCUCUGUUAUAACUAAAAGGAAAAGAGGCUGAGGAUUCUUCUCCUCAUGUGAUGCAGGAACUCAAGAGUCUUUGUUCUCCAAGAUUAAAAAUCCUUGGCCAUCUCUCAAGAGCUGAUGUGGAAUGUGACAGUCAUUUGCUGGCAACCUCACACAGGAUCAUGACAUGAAGUGGUGAAUAUCAUCGUGAAUGUCAUGUUAGGAUAGGCAGGAUAUUAUUGUGUGAUAUAUAACUCGGCCAGCACAUCUGGUUGACUUCAGGUGGUAUCAUGACAGGUGCUUUGCAAGCAUCCAGAGCUCCUGAUUUCUGUAUCACAUGUGCUAGUGGCUUUGCAGCCACCCUUAGUGCUCUACCUGUCCUGCUCUCUUCCUGGGUCAGGUGGAGAUAGGUUUCUUGCACAAACCCCUGAAGCACAAGCAUGGUACUUAAAAUGCCUUGCAAUCAAAAUAAAACAGUGUUUGCUACUUUUACCACCAAAUACUGCUUUGCAAGGCUCUGAUACUUGGCUCCCCUGAGCCAUCAGGGCUCUGUUGAGCCUGACAUGGGUGGCCAAGAGUGGCAGGCAGCUCUGUGGAGCGUCUUGAAGUGAUGUGAAGUUGCCUUGACUGUUGGAAGUUUGAAAAAGAGCAGCCUGCUCUUCAAAAUGCUGCAUUCUGCAACGAGAGUUCAAAAAAAUUUUCUUCUCUAGCCCCUCCUCCCUUUCAGUCAGAUAUGUGCUGAGUUCCUAGGAGCAAGCACCAUUUCUUAACCUAUUUUAGAAGACCUUGUUUUGACAUUCCUCUCUAGGCUCUGUUGCGUGAAAUUAAAGCGAAACACUACUGUUUUCUUUACAAAAGAAGAAACAAAUAUGUUCAUGUAUGAAGCUAAAGAAAGCUGGCAUUAACAGGGUAAUUAUUACAGGUAUGUUAGACAAAAUUAUUAACUUGUUUUUAGAUGAUUGUUGCAAAGGAGAUGUCUGCAUCUGCCUUUCUCAUUUUCUAUGUUAUAAAAAGAACUGUGAAAAAAAUAACUGUGUAAGUCCAGUGGCAGCUUCGGAGGGGGCCUCUGCCACCAUCUAUUGGUGAAUGAGGGGAAGAGGCAGAGUGAUCUGACCUUGCUGAUGUUCCCUUCUAUACCCAGUGCAUUAUUUGUUUCAUUUUGAGCUUCUGGGGUAACAAACCUGUGUUUUCUUCAUCUUUCUGUGUGAGAGACUGUAGUUAUAUCCCCUGACUGGAGAACUGUCCUAGACAAAUCUAAUAGCUGGCCUGUUGUCCCAUAUACCUCUCAAUGGAGCAAAAGGGACUUGUAAGUCACAGAGAAGAAUGCUCUUCGAGUGUUAAGUCUCAUGCUAAAUAAUUUUGUCCUGGUUUCUGGCAAUGGAAUAGGGCCUAUUUUUUCACUGGUUUCAAGAAACAUCACACUGGAGCUUGAGUAGAGCCCCAUUGCUGCUGACAAAGCUUGGAAGAGUGUAAAGCUAGAGCAAUUGCUGGCAUUACUGCACAGUCCACUGAGAGGGGCACUUGUGAAAGGACAUCACUUACAAAUAAAAUGUUUGCAGAAUCAAUCUAUGCCCCUAAAAAGACUGGCAAGAAGAAAAGUGAAGAGGGACAGUGUCAGCAGCUGAACCAAAAGUAAAUCUUCAAAGUUGUCUCCAGAUAAGAAAUCAGUCUAUUUUAUUGGAUUCAUCAACACUGCUUGCAUAUGCAAAUCCCUCAUGAAUAAAGCUUUUUGUAGUGCAGGCUCUAAAGUUAAUUCAGGUAGAAUCAGGGAUAGCAGUGGAUGAGCACAGAGAUGGUUUAAAGGGGUUGCUUAGUUUUCAAAUCAACAAAUUGCUGUGAUUUUACUUAAUACACAAAAAAAGGAAAAUAGAACAAUCUGGCAGCCUGGCGGGAAGAUAGAAUGGUAAAGGACAUAAUAUUACAGCUAUCUUAAGAUCAAUUUAUGAAACUGAUGGCAUUAGAGAACAGUUGUUGAACACAUUUGGGGAACAGCUGUGCUAUUGCUGAAGUGUAAAGACAAAAGUGUGUGUAGACAUGUCGGGGUGCUCAAGAAGAAUAGUCUGGUGGUGGUGGGGAGAAGCUUCUCUUCAUUGUUAAACCAUGUUCUUCCUAAUUUUAACUGUGAGUAAAGAAGGACUGGCAGAGUCAAAUGACUUCAUGAACACUAUUUUCAUGAAAAUGGCAGUUAUUAUAUAUGAUCACUUUGAUAGCUGUAUCAAUCUUUCUUAAAUAAGAUU
This 2683-nucleotide long non-coding RNA is filed under the name Taeniopygia guttata (zebra finch). RNAcentral describes it as "lncRNA (ENSTGUG00000021056.1)". Lineage: Eukaryota; Metazoa; Chordata; Aves; Passeriformes; Estrildidae. The record is from RNAcentral.